UCCAUGAGACAUCUUUUGGUAUUAUGUGGCACUGAUGGGUUUGCUGGAUAGAACUGAGUUCACAAGGACUUGGGAGCACCAAGGUGAAGAUUGUGAGCUUAAGUGUGGCACUCCCAAGCCUUGAAAAUAGGUGAAAAGAGGCAAAUGGGUCAAAAAGCAAGCUAGCAGAAGUUUCAGCCAAGGUAGUAGUGUUUCUGUAGGUCAGUCGACUUA
Molecule: long non-coding RNA, 213 nt
Filed under: Elaeis guineensis (African oil palm)
Lineage: Eukaryota; Viridiplantae; Streptophyta; Magnoliopsida; Arecales; Arecaceae
Description: long non-coding RNA (EGUI_LNC023141)
Source: RNAcentral